Molecule: unclassified non-coding RNA, 339 nt
Filed under: soil metagenome
Description: partial contains 5.8S ribosomal RNA, internal transcribed spacer 2, and large subunit ribosomal RNA
Rfam family: 5.8S ribosomal RNA (bases 1-120)
Source: RNAcentral
GAUGAAGAACGCAGCGAAAUGCGAUAAGUAGUGUGAAUUGCAGAAUUCAGUGAAUCAUCGAAUCUUUGAACGCACAUUGCGCCCCUUGGUAUUCCAUGGGGCAUGCCUGUUCGAGCGUCAUCUACACCCUCAAGCACUGCUUGGUGAUGGGCGUCUGUCCCGCCUCCGCGCGCGGACUCGCCCCAAAGGCAUUGGCAGCGGUCCUGACCGCCUCUCGCGCAGCACAUUUGCGCUUCUCGAGGCAUCGGAGGCCUGCGUCCACGAAGCCCAUCUUUAUCUUUUUGACUUCGGAUCAGGUAGGGAUACCCGCUGAACUUAAGCAUAUCAAUAAGCGGAGGA